GUGGGGAAUAUUGCACAAUGGGGGAAACCCUGAUGCAGCAACGCCGCGUGGGUGAAGGAGCGUUUCGGCGCGUAAAGCCCUGUCAGCGGGGAAGAAGAAAGACGGUACCCGACCAAGAAGCCCCGGCUAACUACGUGCCAGCAGCCGCGGUAAUACGUAGGGGGCGAGCGUUAUCCGGAAUUACUGGGUGUAAAGGGAGCGUAGACGGCGAGGUAAGCCUGAAGUGGAAGCCCGCGGCCCAACCGCGGAACUGCUUUGGGAACUGUUUUGCUGGAGUAUGGGAGGGGUAAGCGGAAUUCCUGGUGUAGCGGUGAAAUGCGUAGAUAUCAGGAGGAACACCGGUGGCGAAGGCGGCUUACUGGACCAUAACUGACGUUGAGGCUCGAAAGCGUGGGGAGCGAACAGG
This 406-nucleotide ribosomal RNA is filed under the name uncultured bacterium. Its description in RNAcentral is "bacterial SSU rRNA". It matches the Rfam family "Bacterial small subunit ribosomal RNA", at positions 354 to 776 of the family's 1533-position model. RNAcentral also lists the same sequence under 1 other name. The record is from RNAcentral.